CCUACGGGAGGCAGCAGUAGGGAAUCUUCCGCAAUGGACGAAAGUCUGACGGAGCAACGCCGCGUGAGUGAUGAAGGUUUUCGGAUCGUAAAACUCUGUUGUUAGGGAAGAACAAGUACCGUUCGAAUAGGGCGGCACCUUGACGGUACCUAACCAGAAAGCCACGGCUAACUACGUGCCAGCAGCCGCGGUAAUACGUAGGUGGCAAGCGUUGUCCGGAAUUAUUGGGCGUAAAGCGCGCGCAGGCGGUUUCUUAAGUCUGAUGUGAAAGCCCCCGGCUCAACCGGGGAGGGUCAUUGGAAACUGGGGAACUUGAGUGCAGAAGAGGAGAGUGGAAUUCCACGUGUAGCGGUGAAAUGCGUAGAGAUGUGGAGGAACACCAGUGGCGAAGGCGACUCUCUGGUCUGUAACUGACGCUGAGGCGCGAAAGCGUGGGGAGCGAACAGGAUUAGAUACCCUGGUAGUCCACGCCGUAAACGAUGAGUGCUAAGUGUUAGAGGGUUUCCGCCCUUUAGUGCUGCAGCAAACGCAUUAAGCACUCCGCCUGGGGAGUACGGUCGCAAGACUGAAACUCAAAGGAAUUGACGGGGGCCCGCACAAGCGGUGGAGCAUGUGGUUUAAUUCGAAGCAACGCGAAGAACCUUAC
RNAcentral lists this ribosomal RNA (646 nucleotides) under bacterium HN1-10-1. RNAcentral's name for it is "bacterial SSU rRNA". It matches the Rfam family "Bacterial small subunit ribosomal RNA", at positions 338 to 974 of the family's 1533-position model. RNAcentral also lists the same sequence under 1 other name. The record is from RNAcentral.